RNAcentral lists this long non-coding RNA (665 nucleotides) under Citrus sinensis (sweet orange). RNAcentral's name for it is "long non-coding RNA (CSIN_LNC004642)". Lineage: Eukaryota; Viridiplantae; Streptophyta; Magnoliopsida; Sapindales; Rutaceae. The record is from RNAcentral.
UCUUCUACAGCCGCAGCCACCAAACCAAAGCCAUUCUCUUCAACUCUUUCUCUUUCAUCUAAUCUUCAUCAUCUUCACACUUUCACAGCCACCCUAGCCAAAGCAAAGUAUUCUUUUCCUCUCUCUUCAACUCUUCUUUUCAUCAAAUCAUUGUCGUCACUCGUCAUUACUUCGCCAUAGCCAAAGCAAAGUAUUCAACCAAAGCCAUUCUCUUCAACUCUUUCUCUUUCAUCUAAUCUUCAUCAUCUUCACACUUUCACAGCCACCCUAGCCAAAGCAAAGUAUUCUUUUCCUCUCUCUUCAACUCUUCUUUUCAUCAAAUCAUUGUCGUCACUCGUCAUUACUUCGCCACCUUCACUGUAUUUCAUGUUCAUCUUCAUCACUGGCCGUCACUUAUCUAUCUAUUUCAUAGGUUUUGGUCGACGUUUGUCUACCUUCAUGAUUGCAAUCGCGGUUGUGGCGCUGUGUUCAUCAUCAUCAGCCUCCAUUCGUUACUUCACCGGUUGCAGAUCCUUGAAGUUCGUAAAUAUUGAAUGCGUGAAUCGUCAAUUUGAAUUGUAGAUCUACGUUAUGGAUUUGUAUUUGUGAAUGUUUUAUUACUUUGAAUCAUUGAAAUUAGAAUUUGUAUUUGUGUUUGAUCUUUUUAGAAUUGAGAUUUGUAUUUG